ACCAGAAGAAAACUAUAAAUGGCGAAGAAUAGAGGAUGUGCAGAGGGUUGAGAGACAACAGCAAGAGACAUAAAGCAGGCGGAGGCUCUGAGAGGGCUGCUGGACUGAAGAGUGAAGAAAGAAGAUUAAAGAAAAUAAGAGGGAUCCACGGCUGCACUUUGAUGUGAUGGAAACCUUUCCCCCCCCUCCAACAUGUUAACUGAUGGAGGUGGGGGGUUGAUGCUGUGGUGGCUUCUCCUCUUUGAAUCCCGCGCAGCUCCCACUGAUGGCUCUUCAUGGUCCGUUAUGGAUGCUGUGCGCCGCAGCAGCUGAUUGUGGGUUUGAGAGGAGAACACAGGAGGACUAGAAGGUUCCACAAAGAGGCCCGUGUGACGGGCCGGUACUUUGCGGACGGUCCCCGGCGGCAGACAUCACGGCUCACGGAGCCCAGGGGAGGGAUGGAAGGAGAUGGACAGGGAGGGAGACACCGGCUUACGACGUCAAAGGAGUACAGACACACACGCACCGUGAGAGGAGAGAGGACAGCCAGCCAGACUGACAAUUCCCUACGGUCUAGUGAAGGAAGCCUCAAUAUCCAUCCAUCACUCCAGUGUGUGUGCAGCCAAACCAGUAAGAGAUCUGUUUAUUUAGAUUAUUUGAAGAAAGAAAGAAAAAGAAAACGGCGUUAGGGAAGAGCAAAGGGGAGGAAUAGGGGGAAAAAAAACAAGAUCUGGAAAAAAAAAAGCUCGCUCAUGCCGAAUAAAGGACGGUGGCUGGGUGUUAGUUGUGUUUUAGGGGGGGAGCAGGCCUAACUUAUUACAUGAACUGACUAAUUGAGCUCUAAUAACUAAAUAAGCAGCGGAGGGAAGAAGAAGAAGAUCAUCUCCACACAUCACGCCGAUUCUCUGCCACGAACAGCACCACAGACUUCUCAAUGAAGGAGCCUGACGCAAUCAAGCUCUUCAUCGGGCAGAUACCCCGAAACCUGGAGGAGAAGGACCUGAAGCCCAUCUUCGAGCAGUUUGGAAAGAUCUACGAGUUGACCGUGAUAAAGGAUAAAUAUACAGGGAUGCACAAAGGAUGUGCCUUUCUGACGUACUGCGCUCGCGAAUCUGCCCUCAAAGCCCAGAAUGCACUGCACGAGCAGAAGACGCUACCAGGGAUGAACCGCCCGAUCCAGGUGAAGCCAGCAGACAGCGAGAGCAGAGGGGAAGACAGGAAGCUGUUUGUGGGUAUGCUGGGGAAACAGCAGACGGACACCGACGUGAGGAAAAUGUUCGAGCCGUUUGGCAGCAUAGAGGAGUGCACGGUGCUCCGCGGGCCUGACGGGACCAGCAAAGGGUGUGCAUUUGUAAAGUUCCAGAGCAACGCAGAGGCCCAGGCCGCCAUCAACGCUCUGCACGGGAGUCGUACUUUACCUGGCGCCUCGUCCAGCCUGGUGGUGAAGUUUGCCGACUCCGAGAAGGAGCGAGGACUCAGGCGGAUGCAGCAGGUGGCCUCUCAGCUGGGAGUCAUCAGCCCCAUGACCCUGCACCUCGGGGCCUACAACGCCUACACACAGGCCCUGAUGCAGCAGCAGGCCUUGGUGGCGCAGUCGGCCUACCUCUCUCCUGUUGCCACGGUGGCGGCGGUUCAGAUGCAGCAGCUCGCCGCCCUCAACCCCAGCAGCAUCAUUGCCACGCCGAUUGCAUCCAUCACCCCAUCCUCAGGUACCAGCACUCCGCCCUCCAUCGCUGCCACACCUGUUCCUGCUCUGCCUCCACCCAUCGCAGUGAACAGCUACCCCUCUGUUCCAGCUCCACCUAAUGGCCAAUCCACUACAGAGGCCCUGUACACCAACGGGGUUCAUGCCUAUCAAGCUCAGAGUCCCGUCCUGGACCCACUGCAGCAAGCUUAUACAGGCAUGCAGCACUACACAGCCACCUACCCUGCUGCCUACGGCCUGGUGGGACAACCAUUCCCCCACCAACCCACCCUGGUGGCCCAGCAGCCGCAACAGCCGCAGCAGCUGCAGCAGAGAGAAGGUCCGGAGGGCUGCAACAUCUUCAUCUACCACCUGCCGCAGGAGUUCACCGACUCCGAGAUCCUGCAGAUGUUCCUGCCCUUCGGAAACGUCAUCUCCGCGAAGGUCUUCGUCGACCGCGCCACCAACCAGAGCAAAUGCUUUGGUUUUGUGAGUUUCGACAACCCGUCCAGCGCCCAGACUGCCAUCCAGGCCAUGAACGGCUUCCAGAUCGGCAUGAAGAGGCUGAAGGUGCAGCUGAAGAGGCCCAAGGACGCCAACAGGCCUUACUGAAGGAGACUGUCCCGUCCAUACAUAUAACGUGGAGACGUGCGUCGCUAUGGCUACGGUUGCCUAGCAACCGCUAAAACCUUCCCCCUUCCUUCUCACUGCGUUGAAAACCUAAGAGUUCAAUCAAGAAAACCACUUGGGAUGUCCCAGCCUUUUUUGGUUGUUUGACCAACCGUAUAGCACAGGAGCAACACUUCACAAAAAGCAGUAUCACGUGUAUGCGCUUACAGAAUUAAAAAAGAAAGAAAAAAAGAGAAAAGAAACUACAGCAGCAGUAAUGUCAGCAACAAAUACAUCGAACAGAAUCAGCAUUUGCAAUA
Amphiprion ocellaris (clown anemonefish) is the source of this 2592-nucleotide RNA transcript. It is a transcript of the gene named cugbp, Elav-like family member 3a, with no coding region annotated. Lineage: Eukaryota; Metazoa; Chordata; Actinopteri; Pomacentridae. The transcript has 18 exons. The record is from RefSeq and is a predicted model, not a curated record.